UUUAUGAUUUGGGGGCCACCACAACAUGAGGAACUGUAUUAAAGGGUCGCGGCAUUAGGAAAGUUGAGAACGACUGUUCUCUAUGUUUCUCUGAGCAUACAGUAUCCCCAUCCUUCAGUUGUGUGUGUGUGAGAGAGAGAGAGAGAGAGAGAGAGAGAGGGAG
Molecule: long non-coding RNA, 163 nt
Organism: Echinops telfairi (small Madagascar hedgehog)
Lineage: Eukaryota; Metazoa; Chordata; Mammalia; Afrosoricida; Tenrecidae
Exons: 3
Source: RefSeq, a predicted model, not a curated record